GGCCAACGAUGUGUUGCAAAUGUCACCAACGAGACACAUCAUCAUAUUAUUAGUGCAUGAAGAUAGAUAGAUAGUAAACAGACACCCAACUCAAACAUAGAUGCCAGUAACAGACAUUGGCAUCCUUAUUCAUCAUGGCACACAGAGAUAGAUAGAUAGUCAACACCCUCCACAAGGGUUGGCUAAGCCAGCAUCACGUAGACUCCAAAUGCAGUGAGAUACUCUGUAGUUGCAUGUCCGAAAAAGCCCUUAAUCUCGUCAUAUUCUACAUUGACUUGGAAAAAGGUUCCACCCCCACCUCCAUAUGGACCAUAUGUCUUUCCAAGACUGGUGGUAAACGUGAGUUGAGAUACACAAGGGAAUUCAGAACAGUCGUGCUUGACAUAACCNNNNNNNNNNNNNNNNNNNNNNNNNNNNNNNNNNNNNNUAGACUCCAAAUGCAGUGAGAUACUCGGUAGUUGCAUGUCCAAAAAAGCCCUUAAUCUCGUCAUAUUCUACAUUGACUUCGAAAAAGGUUCCACCCCCACCUCCAUAUGGACCGUAUGUCUUUCCAAGAUUGGUGGUAAACGUGAGUUGAGAUACACAAGGGAAUUCAGAACAGUCGUGCUUGACAUAACCAGAAACGGAGGUGAGGUAUUCAUCCGGCAUGAGAGUAAACUGCGAGGCAAUUGGAGCAAUGAUACAUUUAGUGAUUUAUAUAUGUUGUAAAUAGUGCGUUUGAUAGCAGGUAUUAUUAGUACGAGGGGAAGGCAAAAGAAUAGAAUAGACGAAUGGAGGUUGGAGAGGCAUGCCUGGAAUAGUUCACCGCCGGGGCCUCCAUAUCUGGGAGUUACGCGAGUGGUUCCGUCGAUGUCGAAGGUUAUCUUAAUGGAGUUUACGCACGAAGAAGCGCCGACGCUGAUGGCCGUGAUUUUGUCAGCAGGUUCCAUGCUCCAACGAGACUCGUUGUCGCAUGGACAUUUGGGGACGCCCCCUCGGGCAUGCGCGGCCGUCUUGAUAUGGUUUGAAGCCUGCACCACCAUGCAUCAUCCAUCACAAACCACAUAGAGUAGAAUAGAAACUGCAGUACUACAUAGAUAGAUAGGCCUCCCUCUAAGGGAAGCAAAGCUAUAUUCUUUCGGUGGAGGCAGAGUAUCUAUAUAGCGUCUCUCUCACUCACCAUUAGCGAGCUUAUGAAGCAAUUCCUCUCACGGCAGAUGAUAUGCAAACACAAA
This 1214-nucleotide long non-coding RNA is filed under the name Musa acuminata (dwarf banana). RNAcentral's name for it is "long non-coding RNA (MACU_LNC002835)". Lineage: Eukaryota; Viridiplantae; Streptophyta; Magnoliopsida; Zingiberales; Musaceae. The record is from RNAcentral.